RNAcentral lists this ribosomal RNA (468 nucleotides) under uncultured bacterium. RNAcentral describes it as "partial 16S ribosomal RNA". It matches the Rfam family "Bacterial small subunit ribosomal RNA", at positions 28 to 507 of the family's 1533-position model. The record is from RNAcentral.
GACGAACGCUGGCGGCGUGCUUAACACAUGCAAGUCGAACGGAAAGGCCCUGCUUUUGUGGGGUGCUCGAGUGGCGAACGGGUGAGUAACACGUGAGUAACCUGCCCUUGACUUUGGGAUAACUUCAGGAAACUGGGGCUAAUACCGGAUAGGAGCUCCUGCUGCAUGGUGGGGGUUGGAAAGUUUCGGCGGUUGGGGAUGGACUCGCGGCUUAUCAGCUUGUUGGUGGGGUAGUGGCUUACCAAGGCUUUGACGGGUAGCCGGCCUGAGAGGGUGACCGGCCACAUUGGGACUGAGAUGCGGCCCAGACUCCUACGGGAGGCAGCGGUGGGGAAUAUUGCACAAUGGGCGGAAGCCUGAUGCAGCAACGCCGCGUGCGGGAUGACGGCCUUCGGGUUGUAAACCGCUUUCGCCUGUGACGAAGCGUGAGUGACGGUAAUGGGUAAAGAAGAACCGGCUAACUACGUG